Molecule: ribosomal RNA, 312 nt
Filed under: uncultured bacterium
Lineage: Bacteria
Description: bacterial SSU rRNA
Rfam family: Bacterial small subunit ribosomal RNA
Source: RNAcentral
CAGAAGAAGCACCGGCUAACUCCGUGCCAGCAGCCGCGGUAAUACGGAGGGUGCGAGCGUUAAUCGGAAUUACUGGGCGUAAAGCGCAUGCAGGCGGCCUGUUAAGUCAGAUGUGAAAGCCCCGGGGCUUAACCUCGGAAUUGCAUUUGAAACUGGCAGGCUAGAGUCUUGUAGAGGGGGUAGAAUUUCAGGUGUAGCGGUGAAAUGCGUAGAGAUCUGAAGGAAUACCAGUGGCGAAGGCGGCCCCCUGGACAAAGACUGACGCUCAGAUGCGAAAGCGUGGGGAGCAAACAGGAUUAGAUACCCUGGGAG